CGAGUUUCUAUUGGCUAAGUGCAGCCAUAGCAAAUUAUAAUUUUGCUCAGUGGAUUUUGCUUUAAGAAGAUUAAAGGGCACCCAGGCCUUCCCCCAUGGGAAGGAGGUCCCAGGGUCACCUCAAGCUUAAGGCCGGCCCCGGGAGUCAAAGUUGUUGCAGCUAAGGGUGAGGUGGGCUCCUGGGAAGAGGCAGUUGUGCGGUCGUGGCUGUCGCAUCACAGCCUUAACUUAACAGCGUGUUCCAGAAGCUGUCCUAGCUGGGGGUGAGCCUGCGUGGACCAGGAAUUGCAUCCCACGUGAGAACCUCCUCAGCCGUCGAGUCACAAGUUUUUGUCCACAGAGCUGCGUACUUUUAUGACCUGGAUGUAUGUAUCACCUACUAAAAUAGAAUAUCCACAUCUGCAUUCACAUCCACAUCUACUGCUGCAACGACAUCUGCAUCUGCAUCUGCAUCUAUGACGGCAUCCACAUCUGCAUCUGCAUCUCCAUCUACAACUGCAUCCACAUCUGCAUCUGCAUCUCCAUCUAUAACUGCAUCCACAUCUGCAUCGCAUCUUCAUCUAUAACUGCAUCCACAUCUGCAUCUGCAUCUCCAUCUACAACUGCAUCCACAUCUGCAUCUGCAUCUAUAACUGCAUCCACAUCUGCAUCUGCAUCUCCAGCUACAACUGCAUCCACAUCUGCAUCUGCAUCUCCAUCUACAACUGCAUCCACAUCUGCAUCUCCAUCUGCAUCUAUAACUGCAUCCACAUCUGCAUCUGCAUCUAUAACUGCAUCCACAUCUGCAUCUGCAUCUCCAGCUACAACUGCAUCCACAUCUGCAUCUGCAUCUCCAUCUACAACUGCAUCCACAUCUGCAUCUCCAUCUGCAUCUAUAACUGCAUCCACAUCUGCAUCUGCAUCUCCAUCUACAACUGCAUCCACAUCUGCAUCUGCAUCUCCAUCUGCAACUGCAUCCACAUCUGCAUCUGCAUCUCCAUCUACAACUGCAUCCACGUCUGCAUCUGCAUCUCCAUCUACAACUGCAUCCACAUCUGCAUCUGCAUCUCCAUCUCCAUCU
This 1060-nucleotide long non-coding RNA is filed under the name Equus asinus (donkey). Its description in RNAcentral is "lncRNA (ENSEASG00005031040.1)". Lineage: Eukaryota; Metazoa; Chordata; Mammalia; Perissodactyla; Equidae. The record is from RNAcentral.